CCUACGGGAGGCAGCAGUGGGGAAUAUUGGUCAAUGGACGAGAGUCUGAACCAGCCACGUAGCGUGAAGGAUGACUGCCCUAUGGGUUGUAAACUUCUUUUAUAUGGGAGUAAAAUGUUCCACGUGUGGGAUUUUGUAUGUACCAUAUGAAUAAGGCUCGGCUAACUCCGUGCCAGCAGCCGCGGUAAUACGGAGGAGCCGGGCGUUAUCCGGAUUUAUUGGGUUUAAAGGGAGCGUAGUAGGAUUUUUAAGUCAGUUGUGAAAGUUUGCGGCUCAACCGUAAAAUUGCAGUUGAAACUGGCAGGCUGGAGUACAGGAGAGGUGGGCGGAAUUCGUGGUGUAGCGGUGAAAUGCUUAGAUAUCACGAAGAACCCCGAUGGCGAAGGCAGCUUACUGGACUGCAACUGACAUUGAGGCUCGAAAGUGUGGGUAUCAAACAGGAUUAGAUACCCCAGUAGUC
Molecule: ribosomal RNA, 460 nt
Filed under: uncultured bacterium
Lineage: Bacteria
Description: partial 16S ribosomal RNA
Rfam family: Bacterial small subunit ribosomal RNA
Source: RNAcentral